This is a long non-coding RNA of Dromiciops gliroides (monito del monte), 1178 nucleotides long. RefSeq lists it as uncharacterized. Lineage: Eukaryota; Metazoa; Chordata; Mammalia; Microbiotheria; Microbiotheriidae. The transcript is spliced from 5 exons. The record is from RefSeq and is a predicted model, not a curated record.
GUAACUGCGACUUAGCCUUUUUGGGACACAAUGUUUCUGCUGACUCCCGAAAAUUUUCCACUUGAAUGUGCAAUUAAGCAGCGGCGGCGGCGGCGGCGGCGGCAGCAGCAGUUCUAGAGAAGCAGUAGAAAAGAACAUGCCUUCUUUCAUCUUUUAGAAGCCCCCCAAGUCCCCCAAACAGCACCACUGUCAGAAGCAGCCCGGAAGCCCGAGGUGCCUCCCCGGGUGACAAUUAGCCAACCUGAUGAACUACAAAAACCAUUUUCACCCCAAUUGUCAAGUAUGUGCAUUUGACCCAAACUGGGACUCCUCUUCUGUGUUCCCCAGUCCCCUGUGACCACAGAGUCUCUCUUUCCCUGACUCAAGGGUUCAAGGGCAAUGAGGGUUAAGUAACUUGCCCAGGGUCACACAGCUGAUUUUUGGGGUGGAACUGAAGAAGAAAAAAACAUCUGAAGAGACAGAGGGAAAUUACAUCCUAGGCCAAGACGUUGGAAAGUUGAAGAAUGUGACAGAGGAGGAGGGGAAGAAAAAUGACAAUUGGACAUAUGGAACUAAGCAAUAAAUAGGAAACCAUUCCACUAGGGGGAAUUUGGUUGUCUUGGGGGAAGCAGCUUUUUGUACUCCAAAGAAUGGUGAUAUAGAUAUAGAACUCAUGACUUUAGAACAAAUAUAGGCAUACUCUGUUGAUUGGAAUGCAAAUGUCUGGAACACAGUUACCUCAUAGAAGAUUGGAGCAACAUGUUUCCGAGCCCAAGCAAUUUUUACUCUAUAUUGUAUGAGUCCAAGCAAUUUUUAUUCUAUAUUGUGUCUAUACACAGACCAGUGCCUGGCCCUUAACUAAGGCCCCAGAAGGAAAAUCAGGUUGGUAGUGACAGAAGAAGUAGUCAGGGCAGUGACUGAGGAUGAUGGAGGAGCUGAAGUAGCUCCUGAAGAGGGGGAAUGUAAUGAAGAUGAAAAGAGGGACAGUCAGUGCCAGGGCAUUUUUUUUUGUCACCCAAAGUAUUUACCCUAUAUGCUGGGUCUUUAUCUUUGGGAAGAUUACUUUAAUUACUUUUAUCAGAAAUUUAAGAAAAUGUGAUGAAAAAAUUUAUCUGACUAAAAAAAGAAACAUCUUAAAUUCUGCUCUUCCUAGGAUUUAGAGACAAAAAUAAAAACAAUAUGGCUAUGGAGGUUGUGGU